This 69-nucleotide transfer RNA is filed under the name Microhyla okinavensis (Okinawa rice frog). Its description in RNAcentral is "tRNA-Gly". It matches the Rfam family "tRNA". From Rfam's summary of the family: Transfer RNA (tRNA) molecules are approximately 80 nucleotides in length. Lineage: Eukaryota; Metazoa; Chordata; Amphibia; Anura; Microhylidae. The record is from RNAcentral.
GUUUCCUUAGUAUAAUAAGUACUGAUGACUUCCAAUCAUCUAGUCCUGGUUAAACCCCAGGAGAAAAUA